RNAcentral lists this ribosomal RNA (465 nucleotides) under uncultured bacterium. RNAcentral describes it as "partial 16S ribosomal RNA". It matches the Rfam family "Bacterial small subunit ribosomal RNA", at positions 339 to 795 of the family's 1533-position model. The record is from RNAcentral.
CUACGGGUGGCUGCAGUGGGGAAUAUUGCGCAAUGGGGGAAACCCUGACGCAGCAAUACCGCGUGAGCGAUGAAGGCCUUUGGGUCGUAAAGCUCUGUUAGGUGGGAAGAAGUGUAGUGUAAUUAACAGUUACAUUAUUUGACGGUACCACCAGAGGAAGCCCCGGCUAACUCCGUGCCAGCAGCCGCGGUAAUACGGAGGGGGCGAGCGUUGUUCGGAAUUACUGGGCGUAAAGGGCGUGUAGGCGGCCUGUUAAGUUAGGUGUGAAAGACCAUGGCUCAACCAUGGAAUUGUGCUUAAAACUGGCGGGCUUGAGUAUAGGAGAGGAGAGUGGAAUUCCCAGUGUAGCGGUGAAAUGCGUAGAUAUUGGGAGGAACACCGGUGGCGAAGGCGGCUCUCUGGACUAAUACUGACGCUGAGGCGCGAAAGCCAGGGGAGCGAACGGGAUUAGAUACCCCGGUAGUC